GACGUACGCUGGCGGCGUGCUUAACACAUGCAAGUCGAACGGAAAGGCCCUGCUUUUGUGGGGUGCUCGAGUGGCGAACGGGUGAGUAACACGUGAGUAACCUGCCCUUGACUUUGGGAUAACUUCAGGAAACUGGGGCUAAUACCGGAUAGGAGCUCCUGCUGCAUGGUGGGGGUUGGAAAGUUUCGGCGGUUGGGGAUGGACUCGCGGCUUAUCAGCUUGUUGGUGGGGUAGUGGCUUACCAAGGCUUUGACGGGUAGCCGGCCUGAGAGGGUGACCGGCCACAUUGGGACUGAGGUACGGCCCAGACUCCUACGGGAGGGAGGAGGGGGGAAUAUUGCACAAUGGGCGGAAGCCUGAUGCAGCAACGCCGGGUGCGGGAUGACGGCCUUCGGGGUGUAAACCGCUUUCGCCUGUGACGAAGCGUGAGUGAAGGUAAUGGGUAAAGAAGCACCGGCUAACUACGU
RNAcentral lists this ribosomal RNA (467 nucleotides) under uncultured bacterium. Its description in RNAcentral is "partial 16S ribosomal RNA". It matches the Rfam family "Bacterial small subunit ribosomal RNA", at positions 28 to 506 of the family's 1533-position model. The record is from RNAcentral.